Molecule: unclassified non-coding RNA, 454 nt
Filed under: soil metagenome
Description: partial contains internal transcribed spacer 1, 5.8S ribosomal RNA, and internal transcribed spacer 2
Rfam family: 5.8S ribosomal RNA (bases 160-309)
Source: RNAcentral
ACGAGUUUUAAUUGUUAGGUUAGAGUUGAGCUGGUUAAUCUAAUUAAUAUGUGCUUACUCUAAUCGAAACAAGUCCACUCAUUACUUAACACUUGUGAACUUAUUCAUUACAAACAUUAUUAUUUGUUAUUGGAACGUUUGAUUAUUAAAAGUUAAUACAACUUUCAACAACGGAUCUCUGGCUCUCGCAUCGAUGAAGAACGCAGCGAAAUGCGAUAAGUAAUGUGAAUUGCAGAAUUCACAUUACUUAUCGCAUUUCGCUGCGUUCUUCAUCGAUGCGAGAGCCAAGAGAUCCGUUGUUGAAAGUUGUAUUAACUUUUUAAUAAUCAAACGUUCCAAUAACAAAUAAUAAUGUUUGUAAUGAAUAAGUUCACAAGUGUUACGUAAUGAGUGGACUUAUUCAUUACAAACAUUAUUAUUUGUUAUUGGAACGUUUGAUUAUUAAAAGUUAAUA